UCAGGGACAACAAGACAUGCAAAAUUCCUUUUACUCUUCUUUUCCCGCUGACCACCCUAUAACAAAGACCAUGAUUGGGUUGCCAUCUCUGGUGCAGGUACUUGUAGUGGUCUCAGCCAUAUAAUCUGGAUUUAUGGUCUCAUCAUUUUACUACUACUGAUAGAUUAAAUACAAAGGUUAUUAUUUGUAAACUUAUAUUACAGGGUGCAUCCCCUAACCUGAACAAUGGUUCCGACCGAACUGCGAAGCCUCGAGUAAGGGCACGUCGAGGUCAGGCUACUGAUCCACACAGCAUUGCAGAGAGGGUCAGUUGUAAUGUUU
RNAcentral lists this long non-coding RNA (321 nucleotides) under Gossypium barbadense (sea-island cotton). RNAcentral's name for it is "long non-coding RNA (GBAR_LNC003596)". Lineage: Eukaryota; Viridiplantae; Streptophyta; Magnoliopsida; Malvales; Malvaceae. The record is from RNAcentral.